Molecule: ribosomal RNA, 492 nt
Filed under: uncultured bacterium
Lineage: Bacteria
Description: partial 16S ribosomal RNA
Rfam family: Bacterial small subunit ribosomal RNA
Source: RNAcentral
GAUGAACGCUAGCUACAGGCUUAACACAUGCAAGUCGAGGGGAAACGGCAUCGAAAGCUUGCUUUUGAUGGGCGUCGACCGGCGCACGGGAGAGUAACGCGUAUCCAACCUGCCCAUCACUUGGGAAUAACCUUGCGAAAGUAAGACUAAUGCCCAAUGACAUCCCACGAAGGCAUCCGAAUGGGAUUAAAGAUUUAUCGGUGAUGGAUGGGGAUGCGUCUGAUUAGCUUGUUGGCGGGGUGACGGCCCACCAAGGCAACGAUCAGUAGGGGUUCUGAGAGGAAGGUCCCCCACAUUGGAACUGAGACACGGUCCAAACUCCUACGGGAGGCAGCAGUGAGGAAUAUUGGUCAAUGGGCGAGAGCCUGAACCAGCCAAGUAGCGUGCAGGAUGACGGCCCUAUGGGUUGUAAACUGCUUUUAUAAGGGAAUAAAGUGGGUCACGUGUGACUUUUUGCAUGUACCUUAUGAAUAAGGACCGGCUAAUUCCGUG